GGGUGAGAGACAGAAAUCAGUGGGAAAACAUGUGAGGAAAUGGUGGGAAAAUGUGACAGGAAAGGCUGGAAGAGGUGACAAGAAAUGGAGGGCAAAAAUAGACAGGAAAGGGAGCAGAAAAAAGGGAAGAGGAUAUGCUGGAAGAAGUGACAGAUUGGGGGUGAAAAGGGGACAGAAAAUUACAUCAGGAAGGGACAGAAACAGCUGGAAAAGGGGACAAAAAUUAGGGCAAAGAGUGGAUGGAAACUGGUGGGAAGAUGUGAGGGGGAAAGGUGGAAAAAUGUGAGAGGAAAAGAGUGGGAAAACGUGGGGAAAUGUGACGCAAAAAAAAAGUGGGAAAAUAGAAGGGAAAUGAGGUAUGAAAAUGAGGGGGGAAAGGCAGGAAAACAUGAGGAGGAAGGGUGGGAAAAAAGCAUAAGAAUGUGAGUGGGAAAUGGGAGGGAAAUGUGAGGGGAAAAAGAGAGGGAAAACAUGAGGGGAAAAAGGGCGGGAAAACAUGAGGGGGAAAAGGGUGAGAAAAUGUGAGGGGAAAAAGGGCGGGAAAACAUGAGGUGAAAAAGGGGGGAAAAUCCUGAGGGGAAAAGAGCAGGAAAACCUGUGAAUGGGAGGGAGAGGAGCUGAGAAAACUGCAGAAAGAAGGUGAGGGGAAAUGGGGGAUGAAAAGGGACAAAGUGUAAGGACACAAGCCAGGAAAGUGUGAAAAGGGGACUGGAAAGGGGGUGUUGGUGACAGAAAAAGGGGCAAGAGGGGAAAGGACUGGAGAGGGAAAUGAGGGACAGAAAUGGAAGGGACAGAGGCAGCAGGAACUGGAGGAAGGAGAUGACAGGAAUGGGAGAAACCCUGGAAUAAAGAGAUAAGGAGGGAGGAAAUGGUGAAACGUGACAGAAAUGGUCGGACUGAGGGUGAAAUAUGGGGAAUGAAGAGGAUGUCAAGGUGACAGGAAGUCACAAGCCAGUGCCCACCAUCAUUGUCCCCCAUGUACCCCUGUGUCCCCACUGUGUCUCUCCAGGCUGCAGGGAUGGACCUGGACCCAUGCAGUAAGGGGCUCUACGGCCAAGACCCCCCAGGACCACCGUGUGUCCCAGUGUCCCCCUGCCCCAGGGACAAGGCAGGUGUCCCCAAGAGAGGCAGUGUCCCUGUGUCCUGCCGAGUUCCCCCCUCAGGUCUGGAGGUGCUGCUGAAGCAGGUGCACUGCCAGAAGAAGGUCUGUGAGGCCACAACAGAGGAGCUGGUGAGGGCACAAGGCCGCAGUGAGGAGUUGCGCCAGGAGCUGGAGCAAUGUGAGUGACCUGGGGGGACACUGAGAGGGCUGGGGGAUCCCUGAGGGGUCUGGAGGGGGUCCUCAAGGGCUUU
Molecule: long non-coding RNA, 1353 nt
Filed under: Zonotrichia albicollis (white-throated sparrow)
Lineage: Eukaryota; Metazoa; Chordata; Aves; Passeriformes; Passerellidae
Description: lncRNA (ENSZALG00000001997.1)
Source: RNAcentral